AUGGUGUCCCCAUCACAACUCCUUGGGCUUCUGCUGUUCUGGGUUUCAGCCUCCAGAGGUGACAUUGUGUUGACCCAGUCUCCAGCUGUCCUGCCUGUGACUCCAGGAGAGAGAGCCACCAUCUCCUGCAGAGCCAGCCAGGGCAUUAGCACAAGCUUACACUGGUACCAGCAAAAACCAAACCAGGCUCCAAAGCUCCUCAUCAAGUAUGCUUCUAACUCCAUCCCUGGAGUCCCCUCGAGGUUCAGUGGCAGUGGAUCAGGGACAGAUUUCACCCUCACCAUCAGCAGUGUGGAGGCUGAAGAUGCUGCUACUUAUCACUGUCAACAAGGUUAUGACUGGCCUCUCACAGUGAUGUAA
Non-coding RNA from Jaculus jaculus (lesser Egyptian jerboa), 360 nucleotides. The record is from the annotation of a RefSeq genome assembly. Lineage: Eukaryota; Metazoa; Chordata; Mammalia; Rodentia; Dipodidae.